CACGUAGGGGGCAAGCGUUGUCCGGAUUUACUGGGCGUAAAGAGCGUGUAGGCGGCCACGCAGGUCCGUUGUGAAAACUGGAGGCUCAACCUUCAGACGUCGACGGAAACCGUGUGGCUAGAGUCCGGAAGAGGAGAGUGGAAUUCCUGGUGUAGCGGUGAAAUGCGCAGAUAUCAGGAAGAACACCAAUGGCGAAGGCAGCUCUCUGGGACGGUACUGACGCUGAGACGCGAAAGCGUGGGGAGCGAACAGG
This 253-nucleotide ribosomal RNA is filed under the name uncultured bacterium. RNAcentral describes it as "partial 16S ribosomal RNA". It matches the Rfam family "Bacterial small subunit ribosomal RNA", at positions 524 to 776 of the family's 1533-position model. The record is from RNAcentral.